RNAcentral lists this ribosomal RNA (246 nucleotides) under uncultured Lactobacillus sp. RNAcentral's name for it is "partial 16S ribosomal RNA". It matches the Rfam family "Bacterial small subunit ribosomal RNA", at positions 116 to 354 of the family's 1533-position model. Lineage: Bacteria; Bacillati; Bacillota; Bacilli; Lactobacillales; Lactobacillaceae. The record is from RNAcentral.
CGUGGGUAACCUGCCCAAGAAAUCGGGAUAACACCUGGAAACAGAUGCUAAUACCGGAUAACAACAGAUGAUGCCUAUCAACUGUUUAAAAGAUGGUUCUGCUAUCACUCUUGGAUGGACCUGCGGUGCAUUAGCUAGUUGGUAGGGUAACGGCCUACCAAGGCGAUGAUGCAUAGCCGAGUUGAGAGACUGAUCGGCCACAUUGGGACUGAGACACGGCCCAAACUCCUACGGGAGGCAGCAGGC